AAACGACUCUCGGCAACGGAUAUCUAGGCUCUCGCAUCGAUGAAGAACGUAGCAAACUGCGAUACUUGGUGUGAAUUGCAGAAUCCCGUGAACCAUCGAGUCUUUGAACGCAAGUUGCGCCCGAAGCCAUUAGGCCGAGGGCACGUCUGCCUGGGCGUCACGCAUCGCGUCGCCCUCCCCACGCCUCGA
This 189-nucleotide ribosomal RNA is filed under the name Neisosperma citrodorum. RNAcentral describes it as "5.8S rRNA". The stretch from base 5 to 160 matches the Rfam family "5.8S ribosomal RNA". Rfam says of the family: 5.8S ribosomal RNA (5.8S rRNA) is a component of the large subunit of the eukaryotic ribosome. It is transcribed by RNA polymerase I as part of the 45S precursor that also contains 18S and 28S rRNA. Lineage: Eukaryota; Viridiplantae; Streptophyta; Magnoliopsida; Gentianales; Apocynaceae. The record is from RNAcentral.